This 549-nucleotide ribosomal RNA is filed under the name Triticum aestivum (bread wheat). Its description in RNAcentral is "partial small subunit ribosomal RNA". The record is from RNAcentral. Lineage: Eukaryota; Viridiplantae; Streptophyta; Magnoliopsida; Poales; Poaceae.
CUCUGCCACUUGCAUCACCGAUGCAACAGACCGAUUGUCCACCACAACAUCAACUCUGAAAACAUCUUGCUUGAUCAGAAUUUCAAGGCCGUGAUAGCCAGCUUUGGCAUUGCGCAGAUGAACAUUGCCGGGCUUAACCAACCAUUGCCGAUCGGGGACAUUCCAGUUGGUAACUUUGGGUAUGCAGCUCCAGAGUAUGGUGUCGCGGCAAGCCAGCUGACGGAGAAGGUAGACAUUUACAGCUUCGGUGUGCUGCUGCUGGAGCUAGUCACAGGGAAGUUGGCCAAUGGAGCAGAUGGUCUAUUGGCGAUUUGGGCUCAGGACAACUGCAAUGAAUUGAUGGCAAACCAUCUGAAAAUGUUCAAGAUUGUCGUGGACAAGGGCAUCCCUGAUCAAGCGCGGUACAUGGAGGAGAUGGCGGCCGUGUUCAGGCUGGGUGUGGAUUGUACCGUUGGAGAUCCGAAGCAAAGGCCGUCCAUGCAGAUAGCUCUCAAACGACUGUGCCGCAGCCGUGGGCGUGGCCCAUUCCGUGGCCUCCUCAUCCUGUAA